UACGGAAGGCAGCAGGGGGAAUAUUGCACAAUGGGGGAAACCCUGAUGCAGCGACGCAGCGUGCGGGAUGACGGCCUUCGGGUUGUAAACCGCUUUCAGCAGGGAAGAAGCGAAGUGACGGUACCUGCAGAAGAAGUACCGGCUAACUACGUGCCAGCAGCCGCGGUAAUACGUAGGGUACGAGCGUUGUCCGGAAUUAUUGGGCGUAAAGAGCUCGUAGGUGGUUGGUCACGUCUGCUGUGGAAACGCAACGCUUAACGUUGCGCGGGCAGUGGGUACGGGCUGACUAGAGUGCAGUAGGGGAGUCUGGAAUUCCUGGUGUAGCGGUGAAAUGCGCAGAUAUCAGGAGGAACACCGGUGGCGAAGGCGGGACUCUGGGCUGUAACUGACACUGAGGGAGCGAAAGCAUGGGGAGCGAACAGGGAUUAGAUACC
RNAcentral lists this ribosomal RNA (434 nucleotides) under uncultured bacterium. RNAcentral's name for it is "bacterial SSU rRNA". It matches the Rfam family "Bacterial small subunit ribosomal RNA", at positions 340 to 786 of the family's 1533-position model. The record is from RNAcentral.